Molecule: ribosomal RNA, 372 nt
Filed under: Triticum aestivum (bread wheat)
Lineage: Eukaryota; Viridiplantae; Streptophyta; Magnoliopsida; Poales; Poaceae
Description: partial small subunit ribosomal RNA
Source: RNAcentral
AUGACCAAGCGGAAGUGGAAGCGAACGUGCGAUGGAAUCACUCAAUCCCUCCUCAUUAAUUGGUCGCCCCGUCUCUCCCGUUCCCCGUGUCUAUCUCCCCCAAGCGACACCCAAGUGGCGACGGACGCAUCCGAAAUCAGCUACGGCGGCGAUGGCGGGCAGGGGAAGGAGCGCAAGGCAAUUGAUCUGAAGGAUGGGUGGAGCUUCAAACAGAAGGGCAUCAUCUACAAGCUCAUCAACAUCCUCGAGCGGAAGCUGGAGCUGCAGUUCAGCUUUACACGGUUCCGCCCCUCUUUGUCUCUUUUUGUCGUGCAGCAAAAAUCUGGAGCCUCGCCAUGGCCGCCAAUAUCCAUCUACGGGUACAAGGUUUGA